This 493-nucleotide ribosomal RNA is filed under the name uncultured bacterium. RNAcentral describes it as "partial 16S ribosomal RNA". It matches the Rfam family "Bacterial small subunit ribosomal RNA", at positions 28 to 507 of the family's 1533-position model. The record is from RNAcentral.
GACGAACGCUGGCGGCGUGCCUAACACAUGCAAGUUGAGCGACGAACCAGGGCUUGCGCGGGGGCAAAGAAGCGAACGGGUGAGUAACACGCGGGUAACAUCCGCCGAUAACCGGGACAACCCGAGGAAAAUCGGGCGCAUACCGGGGGUGCGCACUCCACUUCGGUGGAGGGCGUAGAGGAGGCUCCGGGGUCCGGAUCGGGAGCGCGGCGCGGCACCUUAGUUGGUUGGUGGGGUAACGGCUCACCAAGACCGCGAGGGGUAGCUGGUCUGAGAGGAGGAUCAGCCACACUGGGACUGGGACACGGCCCAGACGCCUGAGGGAGGCCGCAGUGGGGAAUCUGGCGCAACGCUCGAAAGCGUGACGCAGCAACGCCGCGUGUGGGAAGAAGGCCUCCGGGUUGUAAACACCUUCCAGGAGUGACGAAGGGUCGGCGGUUAAGAGCCGUCCGGACUGACGGUACCGCCACAAGAAGCCCCGGCUAACUACGUG